RNAcentral lists this ribosomal RNA (564 nucleotides) under uncultured eukaryote. Its description in RNAcentral is "SSU rRNA". It matches the Rfam family "Eukaryotic small subunit ribosomal RNA", at positions 4 to 565 of the family's 1831-position model. The record is from RNAcentral.
CUGGUUGAUCCUGCCAGUAGUCAUAUGAUUGUCUCAAAGAUUAAGCCAUGCAUGUCUAAGUAUGAACUAAUUCAGACUGUGAAACUGCGGGUGGCUCAUUAAAUCAGUUAUAGUUUUUUUGAUGGUACCAUACUACUCGGAUAAUCGUAUUAAUUCUAGAACUAAUACGUGCACCAAGUCCUGACUUUUUGGAAGGGAUGCAUUUUUUAGAUAAAAGGCUGGCGCGGGCUUGCCCGCUUCUCCGAUGAAUCAAGAUAACUCGAUGGAUCGCACAGCCCUUGUGCUGGCGAUGCUUCAUUCAAAUUUCUUCCCUAUCAACUUUCGAUGGUAGGAUAGAGGCCUACCAUGGUGGUGACAGGUGACGGAGAAUUAGGGUUCAAUUUCAGAGAGGGAGCCUGAGAAAUGGCUACCACAUCCAAGGAAGGCAGCAGGCGCGCAAAUUACCCUAUCCUGACACGGGGAGGUAGUGACAAUAAAUAACAAUACUGGGCUCAUCGAGUCUGGUAAUUGGAAUGAGUACAAUCUAAAUCCCUUAACGAGAAUCCAUUGGAGGGCAAGUCUGGU